This is a long non-coding RNA of Salmo salar (Atlantic salmon), 1892 nucleotides long. RefSeq lists it as uncharacterized. Lineage: Eukaryota; Metazoa; Chordata; Actinopteri; Salmoniformes; Salmonidae. The record is from RefSeq and is a predicted model, not a curated record.
GUGAAAGAUGCGUGAGUAUGUGUUCUCUAAAUAAACUACGGAAAAUAGUUUAAUCCCUUGCAAAAAUACAGAAUCUUAGAAGUCGAUGAAUCGAUUCCUAGCGAAAUCGGAGUUUGACAACCAGAAAUGGGAGUUGACACCAGGACUCGACAGGCAAAGAGUUGAGGAAUCUAUUAUUUUGAAGUCGACUCCCCAUCACUAUCCAUAUGGCAGUUAAGACAGAGCUCCCGGUAAACUACACAACAACACACAGGAAUCUUCUAACUUGGAUGGACGAGGGAAAAAAGGGAAGGAGUAGAGAAGUUAUCCAGCCUGCUGACUAAGAAAUGGAAAUAGCCUAUGCUUUGCUGUCUAUCUCUCUCUAUCUCUCUCCGUCUGUCUGCCUGCCUGCCUAACUGACAUAUUGCUGAAGGGCAACAUAGUCAAUGUACUUGCUAGGCUAAGCGUAACUUAGUGAAGACCUUGAUUUGUCUCUGUCUUUACAGUUCCUGAAACAUGUCAAUGGCCUGAUGCAUGGCCUCUACAGAGGUGGUUGGCCACCCACUCAGUUACCAGUGACCUAUUCUGCCACAUCCCAGGGAAUUGAGAGCGCAGGACCACCCCUUCUUAAAUCCAUAGUAAUUGACACAGAGGGUUCUACCUGGAACCCAAAACGGUUCAAACUGGAACCAAAAAGGCUUUGCCUAUGAGGACAGCUGAACAACCUUUUGGACCCUUGUUUCUAAGAGUGUAGUGUGCAAAAGCCUUGUGUCCUGAUUCAACAGACACCUCCCCUGGUGAGUCAUGUAAAGUUUCCUGAUUCAACAAAACCUCCCCUGGUGAGUCAUGUAAAGUUUCCUGAUUGAACAAACACCUCCCCUGGUGAGUCAUGUAAAGUUUCUCCCAUUUCUCUCUUGCUCAUUCUCUCUUUCACUCCCUCAAACUCACACACAUGCAGAUGUAGAGAAGAGGAAGAGAUAUACCAAUUACAUCAAUUUCUAACACUGUUUGUUGCAGGAAUUAUAUGACAGACGCAUAACCUUUUGAACAAUAUAAUAUUUUACUGUCGCUUUAUUGCCUCUUUACACAUACUUACAUUUUUGCAUUUAACUUUGUUUUUUAAGACUGCCACGCUGUCCUAUAUUGGGGAACCUUGUCCAGGACAAUGACCUCAGGAUUAUGGAGCUGUGUGUUUAUAAAAAAAGUUUGAAUAUUACAACAUGUAUUAGGAUUAAGAUAAACUUGACCAUUUAGAGAGGAGUUCAACAUUUUCAUUAUUGAACUACUGUCUAAUUUUAAUAACCUCUUUCUUAAAAUAUUUCUGAUUGAUGACCAAUGGAUUAAUGUCCCACUUCAAAAUGAAGGGACAGAAGAGCAAACAUGCCUUUGCUACCACUUUUAGUAGAUUCUCACUGUUACAAAUCUUUUACUGUGUGUUACUGUUAUGUUCUGCAUGCCCACAUAAUGCAAAUCAUAAAAAAGUAAUAUUUUUAUGCUUACAGUAAGUGUCAUGAAAACUCAGGAGGUUGAUGUGUUAUGGGCCUUCUGGAAAGUCCUAAAAUAUGCCCCUGAGCCGUGUUGGGGAAUGACGCAAAGUAUUUUUUUAAAUACAUCUCUAAGCUAUAACUGCCACAGCAUUAUUCAACUAGUACCAUGGAAAUACUUUUAACUGGCUGAGUACAACGUUUCUUCAAGAGUGUCCUUUUCUAGUUUGCUUAUAAAAUAUUAACUUGAUAAAAUUGUAAUGUGCUGAUUGUCUUCACUUCAUCUGAUCCAUCACACCACUCUUCAAGAGGACCACUCUGCUCCAGAUCUGACCCAUCACACCACUCUUCAAGAGGACCACUCUGCUCCAGAUCUGACCCAUCACACCACUCUUCAAGAGGACCACUCUGCUCCAGAUCUGACCCAUC